GUUCGCUGCCAUUUUAUUGACCCGGGGAAAAGGAGAAAGCCAAAUGGGCAUAGUAUUCCUGAUUUAAACUGAAUUCAGUUCAAUCCAUCACAUAUUUUUGAAAGUACACUCUGUGACUGGUACAAGGCAUACAGAAAUGAGAAGGGUUUGUUUCAGAUGAGACAGAUGCUUACAAUAUAUGGGGAUUAGGGAACUUUCAGUUGUAUGUACUAAUAAGCCCUAGUUUGAGGAAGGGUCUUCUCACCCCAGUGAGAGAAUCACUUGUCCAUCCACAUUAGAACUCUCAGCCCCUUUGUUACAUUAGGACAUGGCGUGAGACUCUAAGUCCUCUGUGUAGCUCCAUGGGGGACACUAGGACAACUGGUGGGAAAUGGUGGAUUGUUCUAAUGAUUGUGACUCUUGGAGUGGCUGGCGGCCAAUGGCAUUGAAGGUAUUAAAAGUCUAACCCUCUUAGGUUGUGGAUUGGCAGGGAACCAUUUUACUAGUUAGUAGAAAAGCCACUACAAAGACUUUUUUUACAUACCAAGAGCAAACUGUAUUGAAAGCUGUCAUGGUAAUAAGACAUCCUUGCAGACCAGGAAACACAGAAUCCAGUCUCUCUUCCUCAGCCUCCUCAAGGCCUUUGCAGCACUUCUGCUCAAAAGCAUUUCCCUAAAUCCUCGAACUGGGUACCAGAUCUUUAUUCUGAAGGAAAAGAAGUUGCGGCUGGAGCUUCUCCACGUUAGACAUUUGAAUAACUCCACUUGGGAAGAACCAAAUGCACCCACUGCAGGGCGGGACAAGACCUCCGCCUUCAGAGACUACGCGCUUCAUCCUAUUCUGGUGAGAAGAAAAUAAAUCCCAGCUCCAAAAUCCUGGAAGAAGGAAACUGUACUUUUCCUCAACAGACUCUAUGAAAGUAAAAUGCUAAGUCAUUUAGCUUUAGGAAAUCCACCCUUUAUCUUGUUUACAGAUACCCUGCUUCUUUAACUGCAUUUUCUAGGCUUCAGAUAUCUUGCCAACAUCAUGUUCUACUGUGUAUCCAAUUGUUAUCAACAUACUUUACGAGAGAGAAUUGAGCCGUGCUGCCUGAAGGCAGCCUUGUAUGUAAUGAACUCACAUCUCCUCAAUGGAUCUAGAAUGAUGCUCUCUUAUGCACCACCCACAGAAGAACUGAGAAAAGAGUCACAUUAGUUUUGGGACUCUGUGGUUUCGAUGAGGAACACUGGUUGAGAAAGGUUGGGAAAAAAUGAUAAAGAUCAUUUUCAUAGACUCAUCUUCAAACAGAAUCAUAACAGUUCUUUUACUCUUUUCCUCAAAGCUUUAAUUUGCACCAAUAAAACCACGCUUGGGCCAUUCUUCUGAAUCUUCUCCCUGUUUGCACAACAUUUUUAACGUUUUGGACUCAAGUAUCAGAUAUUUAAGUCCAGUGAUGUUAUAACAAGUUCUAGAUAUCAAGACCUUUACUUUUACUAUGCAUUGAAUGUGACUGUUUAAAAAUGUUAGCCACCAUGAAGCAUUUCCUCUUUAUUAGUCUUAGCAAUCUUUAAGUGUAGGGUGAAACUUCUUACUAUCCAUUAAUGUUUGUGAAUAUCAGUCAUUCAAUUUUGUUUCCAAAGCCUUCUGUUACAAAAAGACAGCACUGAAAUGGGACCUCUUUCUCUGACGGAAAGAUUUCUCCCCUGUCUCUGCUUUUCUGUCUUCUUGCCACUGAAGUGGAAGAACCAGCUCUGUGUUUCAUUAUCCAAGUGCUUCUGGAAAAGGCCAGAGAAAUUAGUCCUUUUGUAAUGCUUACUGCUCCAUCAGCAGGGUUCACCAUACUUGGAAUGUGAUCCUAGGCCAUCUUGCCCCAGAUUAUAUUUGGGUCUAUCACCUUGACACAAAAUUAAAAGAACUAAGUUAUUUCCCAUGAGACCGACAUUUUAGACAGAACUUGGCAUAGUAAAAAUUGCUCCCAAUACCGUGUUCUAUUUAGGCUGAUUACUGAUUGUGGGACUCUCUUCAAGAUAUAAGACUUGGGCUUAAAGAGCUCUGAUUUCCAAAGUUAGUUCUUUUUCUUUCCAAAAAUAAGUACUUAGCUUGUUAUUUUGUCUUCAGAAGCCUCUCUCCAUUCCCCUCAAAGAGUAACAAAGUAAACAAACAAUAAAUGAAAAUCUGACUUUAACAGAGAAUAUAUAGUUUUUAAAUAUUGGUAAUAAAAUGUAUUUGUUUUUAUUUUCACCUGAGAAGUGCUCUAUCACCGUCCCCAAAUUCUGGGAAUUGGUUUGUUUUAAAUAUAGGUUAUUUAUUAUAGGAACCUCUUAUCUGCAAUUUUUAUGAAAAAAGGGAAAUAGUUUCUCAGUAUGAAAGUUACGCAGCGCAGCAAUUUACAGGACAGCAGUAAUUUGCUAAAUGAUUUCCUAGUGAAAUGAAGACAUGACUUUGCCUCCUUGAAUGCUUCCCGCCAGGCUUGCAAUAAUUUUAGGCAGGUGAUCAGCUGGAGCCCCUCGACUCUAACUAUAAAAAGAAAAGGCAGGUCAUUAUGUUAUAUUAAGGAAAUAAAAGCUAUAUAGCAUUCAGUUUUUGUGUUUGGGGAGGCUCAGGGUUUUCCUUCUUUUGCUUUAUUUUUUGUUGUUGUUUUUUCCGUCCUGAUGCUAAUGACUUCCAGAUUGGCACAAACCUAGGUCUUGUACUAUGGGUACUUUUCCCAGCACAGGGGAUAAAUUCAGGCCAUUAUGUCCACAUUUUCUUUCUAAGUCAUUUAGCCCCUUCAUGUGGCCAUGAAACAGAGUAAAGCUAACUGACCUACCUAGAAAUUGAAACUAUAACCUUCAUCAGUUUUGGCCCAUGGUCCAAUCAUCUGAGCUAACCAGGCAAAUAACACACUGGAAUAAGAAACAGUUUGCCUCCAAAAUUACAGACUUACCAUAUGAGAUAUGAAUGCAUUUUUUUAAUAUCAAAAUGUUUCUGAUAAAAUGUUAAGCUAAAAAGAACAAUCUAUAUGAUUAAGUAUUCUAUUACUAAAAUUAUGUGAAGACCAACAGACUUAUGCUUAUAAUUCACAAAUGAAAGUGUUAACAUUUUAGAUAGAUUUUCUCUAUAUUUCUCACAUCACCUAUAAUGUCUUAUAUUUCAAUUAAAAAACAACAAAAAAUUAAGACGAUAUAGUUUUUCAGUAAAGCCCCUGCAUGGUUUGCAAAUCUUCCAAAGGCUAUACAUUUUCAAAUCUAGGUAUAUUGGAAAAUAUUAAAUAAUUUGAAAAAGUGUGUCUCUUGUUGCUGGCAGCUAAGAGCAAACAUCAUCAGAAGGCCAGAAAGCAGCCCCAAACAUUUCUGUACUCUAUAUGAUGAUAAUAAAAUUAGGUUAAGUUAAGGUUAAGAAUAAUCAGGUUAAGAGGAGAUUAUUUAGGAGAUAUUUUGUCAUAAAGAACUCAUUUGAAUAUUAAAAUAUUUUAUCUCUUACCCAGAUUUUUAUGGAAUCAUGUAAAGCCCGUGGCUCAACAUUUUAAGAUAGUCAUCGAUAAAGAUAAAAAGUGGCAUGGUGAUUAAAACAGAAGACAGCUAAUAUAAUUAUUCCUAAAAUAAUUAUAUUGGAAUUGUGACAUUUAAUUAAUUAAGUAUAGGCAAUCUCAAUUAUAUUAAAUGUGAAGAAAGCUUAAAA
Long non-coding RNA from Mustela putorius furo (domestic ferret), 3618 nucleotides. The record is from Ensembl. NCBI's taxonomy places the organism in Eukaryota, Metazoa, Chordata, Mammalia, Carnivora, Mustelidae.